Molecule: ribosomal RNA, 245 nt
Filed under: uncultured prokaryote
Description: partial 16S ribosomal RNA
Rfam family: Bacterial small subunit ribosomal RNA
Source: RNAcentral
UACGGAGGAUGCAAGCGUUAUCCGGAUUUAUUGGGUUUAAAGGGUGCGUAGGCGGAUAUGUAAGUCAGCGGUGAAACUCACAGGCUCAACCUGUGCCGUGCCGUUGAAACUGUGUAUCUGGAAUGCGGAUGCUGUGGGAGGAAUGUGUAGUGUAGCGGUGAAAUGCAUAGAUAUUACACAGAACACCGAUUGCGAAUGCAUCUCACAAAGCCGUUAUUGACGCUGAGGCACGAAGGCGUGGGGAU